AAAGAGGGGGACCUUCGGGCCUCUCGCGUCAGGAUAUGCCUAGGUGGGAUUAGCUAGUUGGUGAGGUAAGGGCUCACCAAGGCGACGAUCCCUAGCUGGUCUGAGAGGAUGAUCAGCCACACUGGAACUGAGACACGGUCCAGACUCCUACGGGAGGCAGCAGUGGGGAAUAUUGCACAAUGGGCGCAAGCCUGAUGCAGCCAUGCCGCGUGUGUGAAGAAGGCCUUCGGGUUGUAAAGCACUUUCAGUCGUGAGGAAGGUAGUGUAGUUAAUAGCUGCAUUAUUUGACGUUAGCGACAGAAGAAGCACCGGCUAACUCCGUGCCAGCAGCCGCGGUAAUACGGAGGGUGCGAGCGUUAAUCGGAAUUACUGGGCGUAAAGCGCAUGCAGGUGGUUUGUUAAGUCAGAUGUGAAAGCCCGGGGCUCAACCUCGGAAUUGCAUUUGAAACUGGCAGACUAGAGUACUGUAGAGGGGGGUAGAAUUUCAGGUGUAGCGGUGAAAUGCGUAGAGAUCUGAAGGAAUACCGGUGGCGAAGGCGGCCCCCUGGACAGAUACUGACACUCAGAUGCGAAAGCGUGGGGAGCAAACAGGAUUAGAUACCCUGGUAGUCCACGCCGUAAACGAUGUCUACUUGGAGGUUGUGGCCUUGAGCCGUGGCUUUCGGAGCUAACGCGUUAAGUAGACCGCCUGGGGAGUACGGUCGCAAGAUUAAAACUCAAAUGAAUUGACGGGGGCCCGCACAAGCGGUGGAGCAUGUGGUUUAAUUCGAUGCAACGCGAAGAACCUUACCUACUCUUGACAUCCAGAGAACUUUCCAGAGAUGGAUUGGUGCCUUCGGGAACUCUGAGACAGGUGCUGCAUGGCUGUCGUCAGCUCGUGUUGUGAAAUGUUGGGUUAAGUCCCGCAACGAGCGCAACCCUUAUCCUUGUUUGCCAGCGAGUAAUGUCGGGAACUCCAGGGAGACUGCCGGUGAUAAACCGGAGGAAGGUGGGGACGACGUCAAGUCAUCAUGGCCCUUACGAGUAGGGCUACACACGUGCUACAAUGGCGCAUACAGAGGGCGGCCAACUUGCGAAAGUGAGCGAAUCCCAAAAAGUGCGUCGUAGUCCGGAUUGGAGUCUGCAACUCGACUCCAUGAAGUCGGAAUCGCUAGUAAUCGUGGAUCAGAAUGCCACGGUGAAUACGUUCCCGGGCCUUGUACACACCGCCCGUCACACCAUGGGAGUGGGCUGCAAAAGAAGUAGGUAGUUUAACCUUCGGGGGGACGCUUACCACUUUGUGGUUCAUGACUGGGGUGAAGUCGUAACAAGGUAGCGCUAGGGGAACCUGGCGCUGGAUCACCUCCUUAAACGAUGAU
Molecule: ribosomal RNA, 1358 nt
Filed under: Vibrio parahaemolyticus
Lineage: Bacteria; Pseudomonadati; Pseudomonadota; Gammaproteobacteria; Vibrionales; Vibrionaceae
Description: bacterial SSU rRNA
Rfam family: Bacterial small subunit ribosomal RNA
Source: RNAcentral